Molecule: non-coding RNA, 148 nt
Filed under: Homo sapiens (human)
Lineage: Eukaryota; Metazoa; Chordata; Mammalia; Primates; Hominidae
Source: Rfam by way of RNAcentral
GCUGGGUGUGGUGGUGUGCACCUGUAAUCCCAGCUACUUGGGAAGCUGAGGCAGAAGAAUCGCUUGAACCCGGGACGCAGAGGUUGUAGUGAGCUGAGAUCGCGCCACUGCACUCCAGCCUGGGCGACAGAGUGAGACUCUGUCUCAA